GACGAACGCUGGCGGCGUGCUUAACACAUGCAAGUCGAACGGUGAAGCGCCUUCCUUUUUGGUGGGUGUGGAUGAGUGGCGAACGGGUGAGUAACACGUUAGUAACCUGCCCCCUUCUUCUGGAUAACCGCAUGAAAGUGUGGCUAAUACGGGAUAUUCUGGGUCUGUCGCAUGAUGGGUCUGGGAAAGAUAUUGUUUCGGUGGGGGAUGGGCUCGCGGCCUGUCAGCUUGUUGGGUGGGUGCUGGCCUACCAAGGCGCUGACGGCUAGCCGGCGUGAGAGAGCGGACGGUCAGGCAGGGACACAGGGCCGAGCCACACUCCUAAGGCAGGCAGCAGGAGGCAAUAGUGAACGAGGGGAGCCAGACUGAUGCAGCGAGGGCGCGUGAAGGAUGGAGGCCGUCGGGUUGUGAACGUCUUACGCCAGUGAAGAAGGCCUGCCUCGUUUGUGCAUAGGUUGACGGUAGCUGGACAAAAAGCGCCGGCUAACUACGUG
This 494-nucleotide ribosomal RNA is filed under the name uncultured bacterium. Its description in RNAcentral is "partial 16S ribosomal RNA". It matches the Rfam family "Bacterial small subunit ribosomal RNA", at positions 28 to 507 of the family's 1533-position model. The record is from RNAcentral.